AAGUCAUGUUGAGGGCAAUGUCGCAACAAUCUCUUGUAACGCUCCUAAGCUUCAUAAAACGACUCCCCCUCUAAUUGUUGGAAAUUCUAGAUAUUUCUCUUCAACUU
Molecule: small nucleolar RNA, 107 nt
Organism: Lactuca sativa (garden lettuce)
Lineage: Eukaryota; Viridiplantae; Streptophyta; Magnoliopsida; Asterales; Asteraceae
Source: RefSeq, a predicted model, not a curated record